CGCAGCAGUCGCGAAAACUUCACAAUGGGGGCAACCCCGAUGAGGGAAUUCCUAGUGCUAGCACAUUUGUGUUAGCUUUUCUCUAGCGUAGAUAACUAGAGGAAUAAGGGCUGGGAAAGACGGGUGCCAGCCGCCGCGGUAAUACCUGCAGCCCAAGUGGUGGUCGAUUUUAUUGAGUCUAAAACGUUCGUAGCCGGUUCGAUAAAUCUUUGGGUAAAUCGGGGGGCUUAACCUUCCGUCUUCCGAGGAGACUGUCGAACUUGGGACCGGGAGAGGCUAGAGGUACUUCUGGGGUAGGGGUAAAAUCCUGUAAUCCUAGAAGGACCACCGGUGGCGAAGGCGUCUAGCUAGAACGGAUCCGACGGUGAGGGACGAAGCCCUGGGUCGCAAACGGGAUUAGAUACCCCGGUAGUCCAGGGUGUAAACGCUGCAGACUUGGUGUUGGAAGCCCUUUGGGGGCAUUCAGUGCCGGAGAGAAGUUGUUAAGUCUGCUACUUGGGGAGUACGUCCGCAAGGAUGAAACUUAAAGGAAUUGGCGGGGGAGCACCGCAACGGGAGGAGCGUGCGGUUUAAUUGGAUUCAACACCGUAAAACUCACCAGGGAAG
RNAcentral lists this ribosomal RNA (606 nucleotides) under uncultured archaeon. RNAcentral describes it as "bacterial SSU rRNA". It matches the Rfam family "Archaeal small subunit ribosomal RNA", at positions 331 to 938 of the family's 1478-position model. The record is from RNAcentral.